CCUACGGGUGGCAGCAGUGGGGAAUAUUGCGCAAUGGGCGAAAGCCUGACGCAGCGACGCCGCGUGAGGGAUGAAGGUCUUCGGAUCGUAAACCUCUGUCAGCAGGGAAGAACGGUCACUGUGCUAAUCAGCAGUGAAUUGACGGUACCUGUAAAGGAAGCACCGGCUAACUCCGUGCCAGCAGCCGCGGUAAUACGGAGGGUGCGAGCGUUAAUCGGAAUUACUGGGCGUAAAGCGCUCGUAGGCGGUAUGUCAAGUCAAGGGUGAAAUCCCCGGGCUCAACGUGGGAACUGCCUUUGAAACUGGCAGACUGGAGUGUGUGAGAGGAUAGUGGAAUUCCAGGUGUAGGAGUGAAAUCCGUAGAUAUCUGGAGGAACAUCAGUGGCGAAGGCGACUAUCUGGCACAUAACUGACGCUGAGGAGCGAAAGCGUGGGUAGCAAACAGGAUUAGAUACCCUGGUAGUC
RNAcentral lists this ribosomal RNA (465 nucleotides) under uncultured bacterium. RNAcentral describes it as "partial 16S ribosomal RNA". It matches the Rfam family "Bacterial small subunit ribosomal RNA", at positions 338 to 795 of the family's 1533-position model. The record is from RNAcentral.